UACGGAGGAGGCAAGCGUUAUCCGGAAUUAUUGGGCGUAAAGCGUCCGCAGGUGGCGAUUCAAGUCUGCGGUCAAAGACUGGGGCUUAACCCUGGAAAGGCCGUGGAAACUGAAUAGCUAGAGUGCAGUAGGGGUAGAGGGAAUUCCCGGUGUAGCGGUGAAAUGCGUAGAGCUCGGGAAGAACAUCGGUGGCGAAAGCGCUCUGCUGGACUGCACCUGACGCUGAGCCGCGAAAGCCAGGGGAGCGAACGGG
This 253-nucleotide ribosomal RNA is filed under the name uncultured bacterium. Its description in RNAcentral is "partial 16S ribosomal RNA". It matches the Rfam family "Bacterial small subunit ribosomal RNA", at positions 524 to 776 of the family's 1533-position model. The record is from RNAcentral.